AGCAGCCGCGGUAAUUCCAGCUCCAAUAGCGUAUAUUAAAGUUGUUGCAGUUAAAAAGCUCGUAGUUGAAUUUCGGGGUUUAUCCGUUGGUCGGGCUUUUUGGUCUGUACUGGCGUGAUGGAUUCCUACCUUCUGAAUAACCGGCAUGCCAUUAAUUUGGUGCGCCGGGGAAGCAGGACUGUUACCUUGAAAAAAUUAGAGUGCUUAAAGCAGGCUUAUGCCUGAAUACAUUAGCAUGGAAUAAUGAAAUAGGACGGCAUGGUUCUAUUUUGUUGGUUUCUAGGAUCACCGUAAUGAUUAAUAGGGAUAGUUGGGGGGCAUUAGUAUUCAAUUGUCAGAGGUGAAAUUCUUGGAUUUAUUGAAGACUAACUUCUGCGAAAGCAUUUGCCAAGGAUGUCUUCAUUAAUCAAGAACGAAAGUUAGGGGAUCGAAGACGAUCAGAUACCGUCGUAGUCUUAACCAUAAACUAUGCCGACUAGGGAUCGGACGAUGUUAAUUUUUUAAUGACUCGUUCGGCGCC
RNAcentral lists this ribosomal RNA (520 nucleotides) under uncultured Acaulospora. Its description in RNAcentral is "SSU rRNA". It matches the Rfam family "Eukaryotic small subunit ribosomal RNA", at positions 569 to 1087 of the family's 1831-position model. Lineage: Eukaryota; Fungi; Glomeromycota; Glomeromycetes; Diversisporales; Acaulosporaceae. The record is from RNAcentral.